UACAGAGGGUGCAAGCGUUGUUCGGAAUUACUGGGCGUAAAGCGCGUGUAGGCGGUCUGGCAAGUCGGUCGUGAAAGCCCUUGGCUUAACCAAGGAACUGCGAUCGAAACUACUAGACUUGAGUAUCGGAGGGGGUGGCGGAAUUCCCGGUGUAGAGGUGAAAUUCGUAGAUAUCGGGAGGAACACCUGUGGCGAAGGCGGCCACCUGGAAGAUAACUGACGCUGAGACGCGAAAGCGUGGGGAGCAAAC
Molecule: ribosomal RNA, 250 nt
Filed under: uncultured bacterium
Lineage: Bacteria
Description: partial 16S ribosomal RNA
Rfam family: Bacterial small subunit ribosomal RNA
Source: RNAcentral